Molecule: ribosomal RNA, 305 nt
Filed under: uncultured bacterium
Lineage: Bacteria
Description: bacterial SSU rRNA
Rfam family: Bacterial small subunit ribosomal RNA
Source: RNAcentral
UGGUUCCUACGGGAGGCAGCAGUGAGGAAUAUUGGUCAAUGGACGGAAGUCUGAACCAGCCAUGCCGCGUGCAGGAAGAAGGUGCUAUGCAUUGUAAACUGCUUUUAUACGGGGGUAAUUACAGAUACGUGUAUCUGGAUGAAAGUACCGUAUGAAUAAGAAUCGGCUAACUCCGUGCCAGCAGCCGCGGUAAUACGGAGGAUCCGAGCGUUAUCCGGAUUUAUUUGGUUUAAAGGGUGCGUAGGCGGUCAGGUAAGUUAGAGGUGAGAGCUCGAUGCUCAACAUCGAAACUGCCUCUGAUACUG